GACGAACGCUGGCGGCGUGCCUAAUACAUGCAAGUCGAACGCUUCUUUCCUCCCGAGUGCUUGCACUCAAUUGGAAAGAGGAGUGGCGGACGGGUGAGUAACACGUGGGUAACCUACCCAUCAGAGGGGGAUAACACUUGGAAACAGGUGCUAAUACCGCAUAACAGUUUAUGCCGCAUGGCAUAAGAGUGAAAGGCGCUUUCGGGUGUCGCUGAUGGAUGGACCCGCGGUGCAUUAGCUAGUUGGUGAGGUAACGGCUCACCAAGGCCACGAUGCAUAGCCGACCUGAGAGGGUGAUCGGCCACACUGGGACUGAGACACGGCCCAGACUCCUACGGGAGGCAGCAGUAGGGAAUCUUCGGCAAUGGACGAAAGUCUGACCGAGCAACGCCGCGUGAGUGAUGAAGGUUUUCGGAUCGUAAAACUCUGUUGUUAGAGAAGAACAAGGACGUUAGUAACUGAACGUCCCCUGACGGUAUCUAACCAGAAAGCCACGGCUAACUACGUG
RNAcentral lists this ribosomal RNA (508 nucleotides) under uncultured bacterium. Its description in RNAcentral is "partial 16S ribosomal RNA". It matches the Rfam family "Bacterial small subunit ribosomal RNA", at positions 28 to 507 of the family's 1533-position model. The record is from RNAcentral.